Molecule: small nuclear RNA, 24 nt
Filed under: Arabidopsis thaliana (thale cress)
Lineage: Eukaryota; Viridiplantae; Streptophyta; Magnoliopsida; Brassicales; Brassicaceae
Description: snRNA_04630
Source: RNAcentral
GUCUCUUCGCGAAUUAGCUAAAAA